This 73-nucleotide transfer RNA is filed under the name Stegodyphus mimosarum. Lineage: Eukaryota; Metazoa; Arthropoda; Arachnida; Araneae; Eresidae. The record is from Rfam by way of RNAcentral.
GCCUUCGUGGUGUACUGGUCAGUAUUCUCGACGCGUAUUCGAGAGGUCCGUGGUUCGAGUCUUUGCGAUGGCA